RNAcentral lists this long non-coding RNA (872 nucleotides) under Cyanistes caeruleus (blue tit). RNAcentral's name for it is "lncRNA (ENSCCEG00000022415.1)". The record is from RNAcentral. Lineage: Eukaryota; Metazoa; Chordata; Aves; Passeriformes; Paridae.
UGCCUGUGUCAAACAAUUUAUGCAAUUCUCAAGAAAUGAAAACCGAGUGAAAAUAUGAAUAAUUGAAUAGGACUGUGUUUCCUAAAGUCUCAUGGAAUAUUUCCUUUGUCUGAAGCUCCCUGGGGCCUGUGCUACUGAAAACACUGUCAGUUAAAGCUCUUCCAUUCUCCAGGAGCUGCCUCAGGAGUGAGAGCACAUUUAUCUCUGUUGUCACACCCCCUCUGCUGAGAACUCAUCUCCUGGCUGCCACUCUGUUUGGGACACCUGGAGGACCAUGAGGUCACAGCAGCAGCUAAAGGAGCAACAGCAGCACUGAAAGAAGGGAAAUGCCAACUCUUCUCUGGUUUCGUUACUUUUACUCUGCUGAUCCCCACCUGGCCCUCGGAUAAAAGCAUCAUCUCUGUACAGCAAGUUGGGAAAGUAGCACAGGGAAUGAGCCAUGGUUUGAAUGGAGAGCUCUGCACCAAGGAUUUUGUGUCUCUCAUCAGGGAACAGGAUCUGUGGUGACUCAGUGAAUAUUCACCAGAAGAGGCACGAGGACAAAUCAUGCAAGCUUGAAGGACCCUACCUGCUAUGAGGACAGCUACUGCCAGUAAAUACCAGUUUAGGGAGCUUUGAACUAAAAACUGUACACAAUACACAGAAAGUUUGGCUUUAUGUGACAAAUUGCAUCACAGCAGCAUAUUCUCAACUAAAUCACACCAUGGUCCUUCACACUAUAUCAACAAAACUCAAGAAAAGGAUAACAUUUGGGAUUCUGUUCAGAACUCCCAUCCUGGCUCUAUUUAGAGGUACUGUAUAACAACUUUGAAACUACUCAUCCAUUCUCACCUUCAGGCAGUUUUCCUACAAUGCUGGUUUUAUGGUGGCAC